AGGGGAAAGGAUGGGUCUCGGAGCUCGAGCCUGGGCCUGUCAUUUCCUCACU
This 52-nucleotide non-coding RNA is filed under the name Sus scrofa (pig). The record is from RNAcentral. Lineage: Eukaryota; Metazoa; Chordata; Mammalia; Artiodactyla; Suidae.